Beta vulgaris subsp. vulgaris (sugar beet) is the source of this 825-nucleotide long non-coding RNA. RefSeq lists it as uncharacterized. NCBI's taxonomy places the organism in Eukaryota, Viridiplantae, Streptophyta, Magnoliopsida, Caryophyllales, Amaranthaceae. The record is from RefSeq and is a predicted model, not a curated record. The transcript is spliced from 2 exons.
ACAAAAGAUACACACCGUUGAUUUUUUAUUGUGUGGCCGACAUUAAUGCUGCAUUUUUUUGGGUAAAAAUCACGCUCCUUUCUCUUUCCUCCCUUCUUUCAUAGUUUCACCCUGAGUUUCUCACUCUCUCCUCACCUGCUCCUUUCUCUCUCUCCCUACUCUUCUUCAACUGCAUUUCACCAUUGUCAUCAUCUCACUCUCAACUUCUUCUCUAACUCUUUUUUCUCAUUUCACCUUUCUAUUGAAAAAAUCUCUUUUUCUCUCUCCUAAUCACAACAAUGGCGAUAAUAUCAUAUUAGGAAGAUGAAGAAUCCAACCACAAUGAAAAGAGAAGCAACCUCUGAAUAAAUUUUCAGUUACUUUUGUUGUUUCGAAUCUGCUAUUUUCAUUUGAUUUUUUUGCUAUGAGCAGACUGCUUCGAACAAAUUUUUAAGAAAAUUUCAGGAUUUAGGUUUUUGUAGCGCAAAAUGUGAUGUAAUUGGAGAUUAUCUACCAACCUUCACUUAUUUUGGUGAAUGUGGUGACCGAAUUCCAGACUGAGUUGAAUCGUUUGGACAAAACGAUGGUCUUCGCUGCUUCUUCGACGUAGAGGUGAGAGAGAAUGUGAGCUAAUUCGCCGGAAAGAUCGUCGUCAGGUAUUUGUUCGUCGACUACCAUGAGAGUACUGGGGAGGAGUUCGUCGGAGGUGUUACUUGUCAUUUGUCAACAUCAAGUGUCAAGUUUUUGUAAUUGGAAAACAAAAUGGCACUAAAACUUUCGAGCAGUAGUUGGAAGGGAAGUGUUGUAUUACGAAAAUUAACCCUUGAAAUAUAUAUAUUUACCUUA